This 468-nucleotide long non-coding RNA is filed under the name Nicotiana benthamiana. RNAcentral describes it as "long non-coding RNA (NBEN_LNC021438)". Lineage: Eukaryota; Viridiplantae; Streptophyta; Magnoliopsida; Solanales; Solanaceae. The record is from RNAcentral.
UUUUCAGAACUUAAACAUAAACAUAAACAGGGCUUUCUAGUGUUUUUAUUUGGGAGUCUAAAGAAUAGAAAUCAGAAAAUCUACUGUCCUGUCUCAUUUCUGAAUAUAUUAUGUUUCUGCUUGUGGUGUUGUUGAUAUUUUGCUAUCAUUCCUGGGUUUCUAGUAUAUCUGUUUGGUUUUUCUGAAAAUUGCAAAUUGGUUUUCUGAGUGCGUUGGACCUAUGUUAUUGUUGCUGAACUUAUGUGUUGUUGUGCUGGCUACUACUGCUCAUAUUGACCCUCUUCUUCUCUUUGCUUUUCCAAAUACCAGGUACAGACAUUGAUACACUGGCUCCCUGUAAGCUGAAAGUUGAAGUAUGAAUAUAGAAAUGAAGAAGUUGAAGUUGGUUCUUCUAAAUUUGUUUUAGUUUGGUAUAAUGGAUAUUAGGUUGCACAUAUAUAAUAGCUCAUGCCUCUUAUUAGAAUCAUG